Long non-coding RNA from Daphnia magna, 434 nucleotides. RefSeq lists it as uncharacterized. The record is from RefSeq and is a predicted model, not a curated record. The transcript has 2 exons. NCBI's taxonomy places the organism in Eukaryota, Metazoa, Arthropoda, Branchiopoda, Diplostraca, Daphniidae.
UCAAAGAUUUGAAGUUUGUAAAUUGGCAACAGUGUAUGAAUCGAAAGUAACUUCAUUUUGACAGCGUUAUUGCACCUGCAAAACGUUUUGCAAUAGCUUUUUCUAGUUUCAAAACUUUCAAUUGCAUUUUUCGUCGUCUGUUUGUCUCGUGUGUGUUUUCAUUAAACCACAAGUUUCUUUAACGUAUAUCUCUAGUUCUCUACAAAUCGGAUGGUUUCUUAUUACUGUGCGCUCUGAAGAACUUGUAUAAUACCCACGUGACAAGAAUGUCGGCAAGACAGAACCUUGGACAGACAGUUAAAAAUAAAGGAGUAAGAGGCAAAUAAGAAUGGAGCAUUUGGACAUCCUACGUUGCGCAUUCUCCGCAAAUGCGAAAAUCAAAUUUGUGUCCAAUCUGUGGUACGCUGUCUACAGCGUCUUAUGGGAAAACCAAC